This is a long non-coding RNA of Epinephelus moara (kelp grouper), 410 nucleotides long. RefSeq lists it as uncharacterized. The record is from RefSeq and is a predicted model, not a curated record. NCBI's taxonomy places the organism in Eukaryota, Metazoa, Chordata, Actinopteri, Perciformes, Serranidae. The transcript is spliced from 3 exons.
ACACACACACAACUGAGGUGUGAAUGUGUCCUCAGAUGUGAAUGUGUCCUCAGAUGUGAAUGUGUCCUCAGGUGUUAAUGUGUCCUCAGAUGUGAAUGUGUCCUCAGGUGUGAAUGUGUCCUCAGAUGUGAAUGUGUCCUCAGGUGUGAAUGUGUCCUCAGGUGUGACUGUGUCCUCAGGUGUGAUUGUGUCCUCAGGUGUGACUGUGUCCUCAGGUGUGAAUGUGUCCUCAGAUGUGAUUGUGUCCUCAGGUGUGAAUGUGUCCUCAGAUGUGAUUGUGUCCUCAGGUGUGAAUGUGUCCUCAGGUGUGAAUGUGUCCUCAGGUGUGAUUGUGUCCUCAGGUGUGAAUGUGUCCUCAGGUGUGAUUGUGUCCUCAGGUGUGAUUGUGUCCUCAGGUGUGAAUGUGUUCU